CCCUUAGAUGUUCUGGGCCGCACGCGCGCUACACUGAUGCAUUCAACAAGUUCUACCUUGGCCGAGAGGCCUGGGAAAUCUUUCAAAUAUGUAUCGUGAUAGGGAUAGAUUAUUGCAAUUAUUAAUCUUGAACGAGGAAUUCCUAGUAAAUGCAGAUCAUCAUUCUGCGUUGAUUACGUCCCUGCCCUUUGUACACACCGCCCGUCGCACCUACCGAUUGAAUGAUCCGGUGAAGCCUCGGGAUUGUGCCCAGAGAACUUUAUUGUGAUUUGUGUGUGAGAACUUGUCUAAACCUUAUCAUUUAGAGGAAGGUGAAGUCGUAACA
Molecule: ribosomal RNA, 325 nt
Filed under: uncultured eukaryote
Lineage: Eukaryota
Description: partial 18S ribosomal RNA
Rfam family: Eukaryotic small subunit ribosomal RNA
Source: RNAcentral